CCUACGGGAAGCAGCAGUGAGGAAUAUUGGUCAAUGGACGGAAGUCGGAACCAGCCAAGCCGCGUGCAGGAUGAAGGCGCAAUGAGUUGUAAACUGCUUUUGUACGAGGGUAAACCCCGAUACGUGUAUCGGGUUGAAAGUAUCGUACGAAUAAGGAUCGGCUAACUCCGUGCCAGCAGCCGCGGUAAUACGGAGGAUCCGAGCGUUAUCCGGAUUUAUUGGGUUUAAAGGGUGCGUAGGCGGUAUGAUAAGUUAGAGGUGAAAUGUCGGGGCUCAACCCCGAAACUGCCUUGGAUACUGUUGGACUAGAGAGUAGUUGCGGUAGGCGGAAUGUAUGGUGUAGCGGUGAAAUGCUUAGAGAUCAUGCAGAACACCGAUUGCGAAGGCAGCUUACCAAACUAUAUCUGACGUUGAGGCACGAAAGCGUGGGUAGCAAACAGGAUUAGAUACCCUAGUAGUC
RNAcentral lists this ribosomal RNA (460 nucleotides) under uncultured bacterium. RNAcentral's name for it is "partial 16S ribosomal RNA". It matches the Rfam family "Bacterial small subunit ribosomal RNA", at positions 338 to 795 of the family's 1533-position model. The record is from RNAcentral.